CCUACGGGAGGCAGCAGUGAGGAAUAUUGGUCAAUGGGCGCAAGCCUGAGCCAGCCAUGCCGCGUGCAGGAAGAAUGCCCUACGGGUUGUAAACUGCUUUUAUUUGGGAAUAAACCUUUCUACGUGUAGAAAGCUGAAGGUACCAAUUGAAUAAGCACCGGCUAACUCCGUGCCAGCAGCCGCGGUAAUACGGAGGGUGCAAGCGUUAUCCGGAAUCAUUGGGUUUAAAGGGUCCGCAGGCGGACCUAUAAGUCAGUGGUGAAAGCCUACAGCUUAACUGUAGAACUGCCAUUGAAACUGUAGGUCUUGAAUUCGGUCGAAGUGGGCGGAAUGUGUAGUGUAGCGGUGAAAUGCAUAGAUAUUACACAGAACACCGAUGGCGAAGGCAGCUCACUAGGCCUGGAUUGACGCUCAGGGACGAAAGCGUGGGGAUCAAACAGGAUUAGAUACCCUGGUAGUCCACGCCGUAAACCUAUGAUUACUCGUUUUCGGCGAUAUACAGUCGGAGACUAAGCGAAAGUGAUAAGUAAUCCACCUGGGGAGUACGAUCGCAAGGUUGAAACUUAAAGGAAUUGACGG
Molecule: ribosomal RNA, 579 nt
Filed under: uncultured bacterium
Lineage: Bacteria
Description: bacterial SSU rRNA
Rfam family: Bacterial small subunit ribosomal RNA
Source: RNAcentral